RNAcentral lists this ribosomal RNA (465 nucleotides) under Vreelandella stevensii. RNAcentral describes it as "partial 16S ribosomal RNA". It matches the Rfam family "Bacterial small subunit ribosomal RNA", at positions 338 to 795 of the family's 1533-position model. The record is from RNAcentral. Lineage: Bacteria; Pseudomonadati; Pseudomonadota; Gammaproteobacteria; Oceanospirillales; Halomonadaceae.
CCUACGGGUGGCUGCAGUGGGGAAUAUUGGACAAUGGGGGCAACCCUGAUCCAGCCAUGCCGCGUGUGUGAAGAAGGCCCUCGGGUUGUAAAGCACUUUCAGUGAGGAAGAACGCCUGGUGGUUAAUACCCAUCAGGAAAGACAUCACUCACAGAAGAAGCACCGGCUAACUCCGUGCCAGCAGCCGCGGUAAUACGGAGGGUGCGAGCGUUAAUCGGAAUUACUGGGCGUAAAGCGCGCGUAGGUGGCUUGAUAAGCCGGUUGUGAAAGCCCCGGGCUCAACCUGGGAACGGCAUCCGGAACUGUCAAGCUAGAGUGCAGGAGAGGAAGGUAGAAUUCCCGGUGUAGCGGUGAAAUGAGUAGAGAUCGGGAGGAAUACCAGUGGCGAAGGCGGCCUUCUGGACUGACACUGACACUGAGGUGCGAGAGCGUGGGUAGCACACAGGAUUAGAUACCCGAGUAGUC